Molecule: long non-coding RNA, 976 nt
Organism: Mustela erminea (ermine)
Lineage: Eukaryota; Metazoa; Chordata; Mammalia; Carnivora; Mustelidae
Exons: 3
Source: RefSeq, a predicted model, not a curated record
CCCAGGACCCUGAGAUCAUGACCUGAGCAGAAAGCAGACACUUAACCAACUGAACCAUGCCGGCGCCCCUGAAUUGUGAGUUUUAAUUGACUUCUUUCCCUACUUUCUGAUUGCUUUCUCUCUUAUUCUUGUUGGUGGAUGGAAAAUAAUGGGCCUUAUUCACUGUUAUUUGCGUAUCUUAUUGAUUCUGUUGAUUGGAUUUUUUCUUCUCCUUCUCCUCUCUCUUGGAGAGUGUCCCCUUGGAGUGGUCUGGUUUCACAUUCUAACAUGGACUGAUUGAUGUUUUUUUUCAGAAUAGCUCCUCAAGGGUCACCUUGAAGUGUGCUUUCAUUAAAUGCCUGGUUAGUGGCAUGGUUUCUUAGAUCUUCAUCAUCCUCUGUCUUGGUGUUCAGCUUCAGAUGGAGAAAUUGAGGCUCAGUCCAGAAAACCUUCUCUCUACCUAAGACUGAAUGUUCCAAGGGAGCAGGUUUAAUUAACCCACAAGUCUUUUGCGGUGGAAAGUAAAUUGUGCCGAAGUUAUUUAUUCAAAUAGUCAUCUAUUACUUUGAGUUGAAAUGCCAACUUGGUUAUGCCUCAAGCUACUACCUGUCUUUGGAUUUGUUCCUGUUUUCUCUAUUUUAUUUCAUUGAUCUAGUAAUAUAUGCUGUGAUAUAGCUUGGUAGUGUUCUCUACUGGAAUAAGUAAAUUAAAAUAAUUAUGUUGUCUUGUUUACUAGGAGCCAAGUGUUCUUCAUUUCUUUCAGUAUUGCCCCAUAGACAUUAAAACAUAAAAUGUUUUAGGCUAAUGGACAGGAUGUCAUUUUAUCAGAGUAGUUUUGUAAUAAAUUUUGAUGUUUAGCAAAGCAAGAUGAUACCCAUGCUCUGCAUGUUCGCCUGUGCACUGGCCCAUGCAUGCGUACACACGUCUUCCUUUAACACCAUUGGCUAUUCUCAGAUACUUAGCCUUCCAUAUACAUGUUAUGUUCAUUUUGCCUGGU